GACGAACGCUGGCGGCGUGCUUAACACAUGCAAGUCGAGCGAUGAAGUUCCUUCGGGAAUGGAUUAGCGGCGGACGGGUGAGUAACACGUGGGUAACCUGCCUCAUAGAGGGGAAUAGCCUUUCGAAAGGAAGAUUAAUACCGCAUAAGAUUGUAGCUUCGCAUGAAGCAGCAAUUAAAGGAGUAAUCCGCUAUGAGAUGGACCCGCGUCGCAUUAGCUAGUUGGUGAGGUAACGGCUCACCAAGGCGACGAUGCGUAGCCGACCUGAGAGGGUGAUCGGCCACAUUGGGACUGAGACACGGCCCAGACUCCUACGGGAGGCAGCAGUGGGGAAUAUUGCACAAUGGGGGAAGCCCUGAUGCAGCAACGCCGCGUGAGUGAUGACGGUCUUCGGAUUGUAAAACUCUGUCUUCAGGGACGAUAAUGACGGUACCUGAGGAGGAAGCCACGGCUAACUACGUGCCAGCAGCCGCCGUAA
Molecule: ribosomal RNA, 478 nt
Filed under: uncultured bacterium
Lineage: Bacteria
Description: partial 16S ribosomal RNA
Rfam family: Bacterial small subunit ribosomal RNA
Source: RNAcentral